This 371-nucleotide ribosomal RNA is filed under the name uncultured bacterium. RNAcentral describes it as "bacterial SSU rRNA". It matches the Rfam family "Bacterial small subunit ribosomal RNA", at positions 527 to 896 of the family's 1533-position model. The record is from RNAcentral.
AGAGGGGGCAAGCGUUGCUCGGAAUCACUGGGCGUAAAGGGCGCGUAGGCGGGAUGGCAAGUCGGUCGUGAAAUCCUUCGGCUCAACCGAAGAACGUCGGCCGAUACUGCCGUUCUUGAGGGAUGCAGAGGAGAUUGGAAUUCCCGGUGUAGCGGUGAAAUGUGUAGAGAUCGGGAGGAACACCGGUGGCGAAGGCGGGUCUCUGGGCAUCUCCUGACGCUGAGGCGCGAAAGCGUGGGGAGCAAACGGGAUUAGAUACCCCGGUAGUCCACGCUGUAAACGAUGACGACUAGGUGUGGGGGGGGUUAGUCCUUUCCGUGCCGCAGCUAACGCAUUAAGUCGUCCGCCUGGGGAGUACGGCCGCAAGGUUG